UUUAUGGAGAGUUUGAUCCUGGCUCAGAGUGAACGCUGGCGGCGUGCCUAAUACAUGCAAGUCGAACGAUGAAGCUUCUAGCUUGCUAGAAUGCUGAUUAGUGGCGCACGGGUGAGUAACGCAUAGGUCAUGUGCCUCUUAGUUUGGGAUAGCCAUUGGAAACGAUGAUUAAUACCAGAUACUCCCUACGGGGGAAAGAUUUAUCGCUAAGAGAUCAGCCUAUGUCCUAUCAGCUUGUUGGUAAGGUAAUGGCUUACCAAGGCUAUGACGGGUAUCCGGCCUGAGAGGGUGAACGGACACACUGGAACUGAGACACGGUCCAGACUCCUACGGGAGGCAGCAGUAGGGAAUAUUGCUCAAUGGGGGAAACCCUGAAGCAGCAACGCCGCGUGGAGGAUGAAGGUUUUAGGAUUGUAAACUCCUUUUGUUAGAGAAGAUAAUGACGGUAUCUAACGAAUAAGCACCGGCUAACUCCGUGCCAGCAGCCGCGGUAAUACGGAGGGUGCAAGCGUUACUCGGAAUCACUGGGCGUAAAGAGCGCGUAGGCGGGAUAGUCAGUCAGGUGUGAAAUCCUAUGGCUUAACCAUAGAACUGCAUUUGAAACUACUAUUCUAGAGUGUGGGAGAGGUAGGUGGAAUUCUUGGUGUAGGGGUAAAAUCCGUAGAGAUCAAGAGGAAUACUCAUUGCGAAGGCGACCUGCUGGAACAUUACUGACGCUGAUUGCGCGAAAGCGUGGGGAGCAAACAGGAUUAGAUACCCUGGUAGUCCACGCCCUAAACGAUGGAUGCUAGUUGUUGGAGGGCUUAGUCUCUCCAGUAAUGCAGCUAACGCAUUAAGCAUCCCGCCUGGGGAGUACGGUCGCAAGAUUAAAACUUAAAGGAAUAGACGGGGACCCGCACAAGCGGUGGAGCAUGUGGUUUAAUUCGAAGAUACACGAAGAACCUUACCUAGGCUUGACAUUGAGAGAAUCCGCUAGAAAUAGUGGAGUGUCUGGCUUGCCAGACCUUGAAAACAGGUGCUGCACGGCUGUCGUCAGCUCGUGUCGUGAGAUGUUGGGUUAAGUCCCGCAACGAGCGCAACCCCCUUUCUUAGUUGCUAACAGGUCAUGCUGAGAACUCUAAGGAUACUGCCUCCGUAAGGAGGAGGAAGGUGGGGACGACGUCAAGUCAUCAUGGCCCUUACGCCUAGGGCUACACACGUGCUACAAUGGGGUGCACAAAGAGAAGCAAUACUGCGAAGUGGAGCCAAUCUUCAAAACACCUCUCAGUUCGGAUUGUAGGCUGCAACUCGCCUGCAUGAAGCUGGAAUCGCUAGUAAUCGCAAAUCAGCCAUGUUGCGGUGAAUACGUUCCCGGGUCUUGUACUCACCGCCCGUCACACCAUGGGAGUUGUGUUUGCCUUAAGUCAGGAUGCUAAAUUGGCUACUGCCCACGGCACACACAGCGACUGGGGUGAAGUCGUAACAAGGUAACCGUAGGUGAACCUGCGGUUGGAUCACCUCCUUUCUAGA
RNAcentral lists this ribosomal RNA (1509 nucleotides) under Helicobacter pylori. Its description in RNAcentral is "bacterial SSU rRNA". It matches the Rfam family "Bacterial small subunit ribosomal RNA". The record is from RNAcentral. Lineage: Bacteria; Pseudomonadati; Campylobacterota; Epsilonproteobacteria; Campylobacterales; Helicobacteraceae.